AACGAACGCUUUCUUCCUGCCUAACACAUGCAAGUCGAACGAGACCUUCGAGGCUAGUUGCGCAAGGGUGCGUACCGCGUGGUAACUUGCCCUUAGGUUCGGAACCCUUCACCGCAGGGGGUGCUUGUACCGGUUAAUCUCUUCGCAGCAAGGAUUAAUCGCUAUUGGAUGGGCGCGCGCGUGUUUAGCGAGUUGGUAGGGUAAAAGCCUACCAAGGCUACGAUCCAUAGCUGGUCUGAGAGGAUGAUCAGCCACAAUGGGACUGCGACACGGCCCAGACUCCUACGGGAGGCAGCAGUGGAGAAUAUUGGACAAUGGGCGAAAGCCUGAUCAAGCAAUGCCGCGUGAGUGAGGAAGGCCUUAGGGUUGUAAAGCUCUUUUACCCGGGAUGAUAAUGACAGUACCGGGAGAAUAAGCUCCGGCUAACUCCGGG
This 433-nucleotide ribosomal RNA is filed under the name uncultured bacterium. RNAcentral's name for it is "partial 16S ribosomal RNA". It matches the Rfam family "Bacterial small subunit ribosomal RNA", at positions 29 to 507 of the family's 1533-position model. The record is from RNAcentral.